GUGCUGGCUUUGGUGGCAUAUAUACUAAAAUUGGAACGAUACAGAGAAGAUUAGCACGGCCUUCGUGCAAGGAUGACACGCAAAUUUGUGAAGUGUCCCAUAAAUUA
This is a small nuclear RNA of Nyctereutes procyonoides (raccoon dog), 107 nucleotides long. Lineage: Eukaryota; Metazoa; Chordata; Mammalia; Carnivora; Canidae. The record is from RefSeq and is a predicted model, not a curated record.